CGGAGGUCCUCAGUUACUGCCCUGGCACCCUGCUCUGCUCCUCCCAGUGAAGUCAAAAAUGAAGCAUUUCCUUCUCCUUGUGUGUGGUCUCGCAUUCUGCAUGUCCUUGGGUCGCUGCCUGCAGUGUUACAACUGUACGACAAAGGCCCAUUGCAAAGACAGCCACAAGAACUGCACCUCUGAAGAAGACUGGUGUUACUAUGGAUUUUCAAGCCAAGGUGAAGGAAAUUAUUCUGCUGGCUGUACCUAUAAUACCUUGUGCUCCCACAACAAGAGUGCAUUUAUGAUAGAAAAUGUCACCUACAGUAUUACCUGCUGCAAGACUGACCUUUGUAACGAAGGCAGCCUCAUGAAGGUGUCUCCUUUAUUCUGCCUAGCUCCACUCACACCCUGGUUUGCACAGCUUCUCUGAAGCGGGACCUGCUUCAGGCGCGUGCCUGAACUUCUCGGCAGUAUUUCCCUCUGCCAUGACAAGCCUUUCUGAUACGAAGUGAUUUCUCCACUUAAAGUAAUGAAAAUUAAAAGCACAAACCCUUCACAUGAAGGAGUCCACACUGUCUGCAUCAUAGAACAACUCUUUUAGUGUAAAAGCUCCAAAUAUUUAGUACAGCAAGUGUUUUUAUUUUCUGGUCAAUGCCAGCUCACAGUGCAAACCCUUUUCCCCACUGGUUUCCCCUACAUCUCCAUCAAUCUACCAAGGAUAAUUAACUUCCAAUGAAACUUCUUAUUUCACCCCCAGCCCUCCGAACAAACCACCUCCUCCCCUUAUUUGGUCUCAUCUAUCACAUGCCAGCUUGUAUUCCUUCUUCUCCCCUUCCUUUCCAGCUGAAAAAAGGGUGUUAAUUUCCUUCCACAGAUGCUGCAUGACUUGCUGAGUUCCUCCAGCAUUUUGUGCGCGUGGCUCAAUAUUUCCAUUUUCCCUGGACUGGACCCGAUGGUUGCAGGGUGAAUCUAUGACCCAUGUGUACACACACACACACACGCACACAUACUCACUCACACCCACCCAUCCACACACUGCUUCAGUGAUGAGUAAUAUACAUUCACUGUCAGGGAGAACAGACACAUAUUCUUACACUCACUCAGACACACUCUCACUCACACACACACACACACACACACACACACACUCUCUCUCUCUCACACACUUAUACUCUCACACAAAUAACUCUAUCUCACACACACUGACACACACUCACUCACACACAAACUCAUUCUCUCACUAACACUCACAUUCUCUCACAAACAUUCACACUGUCUCACACUCAUUCAAACACUCACACUAUCUCACACACUCUCACACUCACUCACAUAUACUCUCUCACUCAAACACACGCUCACAGACACUCACACACACUCACACUCACUCACACACUCACUCACACACAAACUCAUUCUCUCACUAACACUCACUCUCUCAUACACUCACACACACUAAGACAUUCACACAGAUCGAACCUGGAUCUCUGUAACUGUGAGAAAGCAGGUCUAUCUGCUGCACCAUUGUACUGCCCUAACUGACUGGGGCAAUUCUUACUUUUAAUCGCGUGAGUUGACAAUGUAUAGAAUGGUGCAUCACAGAAUAUCUUAAUUUUUAAAAUACAAUGUGCUUUUAAAAAAACUUGAGCACAAACUACAAGAACUGAAAAUGUGCGGAUUGGCGCUGGUGUGCAGUCAGCUCCACCUCAGUCAGGGCAUUGUUGGUGAACAGAGGCUCCGGUUUUGUUAAAACUGCUCUGCCCUCUGUGGCCUUCCAUGGUAUAAGGGACACGUUGCGUUCCGAUGAUACUACCAUCCUUUUACAGUUCCCAGCCCUGUCUAUUAGUUGUGGAACCCCAAAGGAUACAGCUUUCCUCAUGGAAAGAUGAGGUACUGUUGCUUGGAGCUUGGAGAUAAUCACAGAUUAUGGUAUCUGGCUGCGGGAUGGUGGAAGUGCUUGAAGUCUGGAUACAUAAACUGCGGGGAACUGAGGGGAGAAUGACACCAUAAGACAUAGAAGCUGAAUGAGGCCAUUUUGCCCAUUGACUCUGGUCGGCAAUUUGAUCAUGGUUAAUUUAUUAUCCCCUCUCAUCCCCAUUCCCCUGCCUUCUCCCUGCAACCUUUGACACCCUUACUAAUCAAGACCCCAUCAACCUCCACUUUAAAUAUACACAAUAUCUUGGCCUUCACAGUCAUCAAUGGUAAUGUAUUCCACAGAUACAGCACCCUCUGGCUAAAUAAAUUCCUCCUCAUCUCUGUUCUUAAGAGAUGACUUUCUAUUCUGAGGCUAUGGCUUCCGAUCCUGGACACUCCUACCAUUGGAAACAUCUUCUCCAUGUCCACUCUAUCUAGGCUUUUCAGUAUUUCGUAGGUAUAGCAAGAUGGGAUUACUCUUUUGCAACAAGAUGGGCCAAAUUGUCUUAAGUAAGCUUAUAGUAGUCAGAAGCAAGUUAAUAUACACUGAGAGAUAUCAAAUGUAACCUCAUAGCAGGAACAAUAGUUUAUCUUCUUUAAAGGUUAUGGGGAGAAGGCCAGGGAGUGGGACUGAGGAGGGGAAGGAUCAACUAUGAUUAAAUGGUGGAGCAGACCUGAUGGGCCAAAUGGCCUAAUUCUGAUCCUAUGUCUUAUGGUCUUAUCUACUCCUAUGGAACCCUCAUUUGCUCCAUUUUCAUCAGCACAGGUGGUUCGUAUCUUCGAUUGUUUAAAUAUGCUUUGGGCUGGACGCAUUGUUUCACUGGUCUUUUGCCAAAUCUGGAUAAACUACUGAUGUGCCAAACAUGAGCUGUUUCUUUCUUUUCCCCAAAUCACCUACUUUGCUUUAUACCCUUUUAUAAAAUAAAGCAUUCUGCUAUAGUUAUUCAGCCAGAUUACCAAACAACGUCUGUACGCAUUACCCAAGCUCCAUCACGGCUGAGGGGAGAGGCAGAGUUAACAUUUCACCCUGCCAUUGCCUUGACUGGUUUCCAAAUUUACCUAGAUUUAUUAUAACUGGAAAUAUGUAAAAUGUAUAAAAUUUACUAUUCUUUAAAUCAAUUAAGUUUGAAACAUUAAUAUUAAAUAACUGAAGCUAAAUAAUAUAAUCUUAUAAUCCACUGUGUUGGACCUUUGUUUUUCUCUGUUUGCUUUUCUGUUCAUGUAACACUUAAUAAA
Mobula hypostoma (lesser devil ray) is the source of this 3129-nucleotide long non-coding RNA. RefSeq lists it as uncharacterized. Lineage: Eukaryota; Metazoa; Chordata; Chondrichthyes; Myliobatiformes; Myliobatidae. The record is from RefSeq and is a predicted model, not a curated record. The transcript is spliced from 3 exons.